RNAcentral lists this transfer RNA (74 nucleotides) under Staphylococcus aureus. RNAcentral's name for it is "tRNA-Pro(tgg)". It matches the Rfam family "tRNA". Rfam says of the family: Transfer RNA (tRNA) molecules are approximately 80 nucleotides in length. Their secondary structure includes four short double-helical elements and three loops (D, anti-codon, and T loops). The record is from RNAcentral. Lineage: Bacteria; Bacillati; Bacillota; Bacilli; Caryophanales; Staphylococcaceae.
CGGGAAGUAGCUCAGCUUGGUAGAGCACUUGGUUUGGGAGCAAGGGGUCGCAGGUUCGAAUCCUGUCUUCCCGA